Molecule: small nuclear RNA, 105 nt
Organism: Macaca fascicularis (crab-eating macaque)
Lineage: Eukaryota; Metazoa; Chordata; Mammalia; Primates; Cercopithecidae
Source: Ensembl
AUGCUCAUGGCAGCACAUGUACUAAAAUUGGAACGACACAGAGGAAGAUUAGCAUGGCUCCUGCACAAGGAUGGCAUGCAAAUUCAUGAAGUGUAUUUUAAAUUU